AUGUCCACCGCUGCCUCUGCGCUCCGCCCGGCGCCGCGGUGGGUUGCGCCGUCGCAGCGCCGGCUCGUGGAGCAGCACCUGGCGUCACUGCCCCACGGCCUCCAGCGCCUCCACCACGUGCAGGAGCUCCACGCGCAGCUCCUCAAGCACGGUAUCCACCUCGACCCGCUCACCGCCUCCAAGCUUAUCUCCUCAUACGCGCUCCAGCGCCGCCUCCCGGCCUCUCGCCGCGUCUUCGCCUCCUUCCCCAAUCCUCACGCCACCACCUUCCUCCCGAACACCCUUCUCCGCGCCUACGCGCUCAAUGCCCUGCCCCACGCCGCGGUCUCUGUCUUCUCCGCCAUGCCCCAGCGGGACAGCUUCACCUACUCCUUCCUCAUCAAGGCGCUCUCCUCCGCGGGCUUGACCCCCCUCAGGGCGGUGCACUCCCACGUCGUUAAACUCGGGUCCAUCGAGGACACCUAUGUCGGGAACGCGCUGAUCGACGCCUACUCCAAGAACGGCGGGUUUUUGGACGCCAGCAAGGUGUUCGAGGAAAUGCCUAGCCGGGAUACCGUAUCCUGGAACUCGGCCAUGGCUGCGAUGGUGCGACAGGGCGAGGUGGCAAGUGCGAGGAGGAUGUUUGACGAGAUGCCGGAGAAGGACACUGUAAGCUGGAACACCGUGCUGGACGGGUACACCAAGGCUGGGAAGAUGGAGGAGGCGUUCGAGCUGUUUCAGUGCAUGCCAGAGAGGAAUGUGGUGUCGUGGUCGACGGUGGUGUCUGGUUACUGUAAGAAGGGUGACAUGGAGAUGGCUCGAGUGAUCUUUGAUAAGAUGCCAACCAAGAACUUGGUAACAUGGACGAUAAUGGUCUCGGCAUGUGCCCAGAAUGGGCUUGUUGAGGAGGCUGGACGGUUGUUUACUCAGAUGAAGGAAGCUGCUGUGGAACUUGAUGUGGCUGCGGUUGUGAGUAUCUUGGCUGCAUGUGCAGAGUCAGGCUCGCUUGCUCUUGGGAAGAGGAUUCACCGGUACGUGCGGACGAGGCAACUGGGGAGGUCGACCCAUGUGUGCAAUGCAAUGAUUGACAUGUUUUGCAAGUGUGGGUGCGUAAACCGGGCUGAUUAUGUGUUUGACACUGAAAUAGCUGAGAAGGAUUCAGUGUCAUGGAACACCAUAAUUGGGGGAUUUGCGAUGCAUGGGCAUGGAGACAAGGCGCUGGACUUCUUUGGCCAAAUGAAGCUACAAGGGUUCCGUCCUGAUGCCGUGACAAUGAUCAACGUUCUUAGUGCAUGCACACACAUGGGGUUUGUGGAAGAGGGACGCCGGUAUUUCUCCAAUAUGGAGAGGGACUAUGGCAUUGUGCCACAGAUAGAGCAUUAUGGCUGCAUGAUUGACCUUCUUGGUCGUGGAGGGCUCAUCGAGGAGGCUGUUGACCUGAUAAAAAGCAUGCCUUGGGACCCUAAUGAGGUAAUAUGGGGGUCCCUUCUCAGUGCAUGCCGACUGCACAAGAACGUGGAGUAUGCAGAAAUUGCAGUGAACGAGCUCAGUAAGCUGCAGCCCUCCAAUGCAGGGAACUAUGCUGUCCUUUCAAACAUCUAUGCAGAGGCUGGGCAGUGGAGUGACAUGGCAAAGGCAAGGAUGCAAAUGAAAGGAACCGGGUCUCAGAAGUCAGCAGGAUCAAGUUGGAUUGAACUUGAUGAGGCAUUCCAUGAGUUCACAGUGGGGGACAGAAAACACUCAGACUCGGACCAGAUAUCUGAGAUGGUUGAUAGGCUGAGUUCACAUGUUAAGGAUGUUGGCUGCCUUCCAACAGCUAACGAGCUACUUGUGCAGUGA
Molecule: ribosomal RNA, 1818 nt
Filed under: Triticum aestivum (bread wheat)
Lineage: Eukaryota; Viridiplantae; Streptophyta; Magnoliopsida; Poales; Poaceae
Description: partial small subunit ribosomal RNA
Source: RNAcentral